Lactarius indigo is the source of this 104-nucleotide non-coding RNA. Lineage: Eukaryota; Fungi; Basidiomycota; Agaricomycetes; Russulales; Russulaceae. The record is from the annotation of a GenBank genome assembly.
GCCUGCUUAGCUCAGUGGUAGAGCGCGUCACUUGUAUGUUCUUGCGGGGUAAUCCACCAUGAACCUGCAUGACGAGGUCAGUCGUUCAAACCGGCUAGUUGGCA